RNAcentral lists this ribosomal RNA (497 nucleotides) under uncultured bacterium. RNAcentral describes it as "partial 16S ribosomal RNA". It matches the Rfam family "Bacterial small subunit ribosomal RNA", at positions 28 to 507 of the family's 1533-position model. The record is from RNAcentral.
GAUGAACGCUGGCGGCGUGCCUAAUACAUGCAAGUCGAGCGAACAGACGAGGAGCUUGCUCCUCUGACGUUAGCGGCGGACGGGUGAGUAACACGUGGAUAACCUACCUAUAAGACUGGGAUAACUUCGGGAAACCGGAGCUAAUAUCGGAUAAUAUAUUGAACCGCAUGGUUCAAUAGUGAAAGACGGUUUUGCUGUCACUUAUAGAUGGAUCCGCGCCGCAUUAGCUAGUUGGUAAGGUAACGGCUUACCAAGGCAACGAUGCGUAGCCGACCUGAGAGGGUGAUCGGCCACACUGGAACUGAGACACGGUCCAGACUCCUACGGGAGGCAGCAGUAGGGAAUCUUCCGCAAUGGGCGAAAGCCUGACGGAGCAACGCCGCGUGAGUGAUGAAGGUCUUCGGAUCGUAAAACUCUGUUAUUAGGGAAGAACGAAUGUGUAAGUAACUAUGCACGUCUUGACGGUACCUAAUCAGAAAGCCACGGCUAACUACGUG